Molecule: long non-coding RNA, 2302 nt
Organism: Nematostella vectensis (starlet sea anemone)
Lineage: Eukaryota; Metazoa; Cnidaria; Anthozoa; Actiniaria; Edwardsiidae
Exons: 2
Source: RefSeq, a predicted model, not a curated record
GACGAGCUUAUCUGGAGCGGUCUGACCCGGCAAGCCCUGGGGUGAUACUAGCGUCAGGUUAUUGAACCUCAGAUGGGGGCUGCAGAAGUAACAGCACGAAUGCGAGAUAAGCAUUUAGAAAAAUAAAGUUUAGCUGCAGCAUUAGCACCACGUUUUGCCAAGGUCAUAGUUAUGCAGGCAUAGGUCACAUCAGGCCGUCUCAAGAAGGCACUAACCAAAAGACAAAGGUCUCGAGGAAUGAGAUGCCCACAUCUGAUGCUCCCACCACAACAAUGCGUGCGUUGAUGACCACCUUAGGCUCCAGGGUAAGCUUUCUGUUCAAGUGGUUCAGCGCAAAGGCCUCCUGGGAAAGCAAAAUCGAUGCAUAUCUUGGCACGGAAAACUUAUGAAAACAAGUCGAUGGAUGAAAAGAUAAAAAGUUUUUCUCUUUAUUGGUUAAUAAAUAGAUUUAGGCAGUUUAAAGCGGAGCCAGCAUUGUAAUUUUAAAAGUUUUAAACUUUACCAAAUUCAGUUAAAAAAUAACACAAUACAUAAUAGAUAGAAAUGGGUGCUUUUUCCGAGGAUGGAUGACAUAGCAGCAGCUGACAGUCUUUAUAACUAAGAUUAUUACGAGAACGAUGCCAGUCUAAUUUACCUUUUCUUGUAGUAUUCUCUCAGAUGGCGCAUUACCUCCCAACUCCUUAACUGGGUAAAUGAUUUGGCGUCGUGCACUGCAAAUCAUACGAGAACAAACGCUUUUCAGUAUUUAAGAUAGUUUAGUAAGAUUUACCUCGUUAUAUGAAGUUAGGGUAGAGUUACACGGAGGACACGAAAUCGGGCCAUGCUACGUCGGGCUAUGCUACAUUUUAUAAAAGAUCCUGAGCCAGUCACAAACGAUAGAUACUAGCGUCAGUUUAGCGUGGCUAACACUGUAACCUGAUUGGCUGAAUCAAAUAUGCGUGGCUAAUACUGUGACCUGAUUGGCUGAAUCAAAUGAGCGUGGCUAAAACUGUGACCUGAUUGGCUGAAUCAAAUGAGCGUGGGUAACACUGUGACCUGAUGUGCUAGAAUGCAUUGAGAUGCCUCUAAGUGGAAUUUGAUUGGUCAAUGUGUGAAAAUGUCAGCAUGGCCCGCUUUCCGUAUCCUUAAUACAAUGAAUUCCGAGAACUCCAUCCUAGACGACUUACGCGAUUGGCACAAGGUCAUUGAGUGAUGUCACAACAGAAUGGUUCUUGGUGACCUGGAAAAAUCAUAUUAACUAUCACUAACCAAUAAGGGAUGAGCGGAUAAAUUCAUUAACAGCCACUUACACUACCACUGGCGUACACAGGGAAGACUGGAUAAUACAAACAAGACUUGUGGGCAAGUCGAAGCACCUCCUGAAAUCACGAUAUCAAUCAAAUAAAUAAACAGUUCCACCAGCAGAACUUUUUCAUCGACAAAAAUGUGCGUGAGAUGUUUAGUGUCUUAUAACGAAUCAAAAACGAGUUAAGACACGGGGCUUUGUCGUGACUUUUAAUUUGGACUGUUUGAAUGUUUCGCGUGAGAUCUUUCGGGACGACUUAUAUAUCUUUGCAGUUCACUGUUUAACUAGUCACGCUGUAACGACAUAUGAGCACAAGUCCUUCUUCUUUACCUUUAGAAAGUGCUUGGAGUAUUGCUGGAAAACAGGGUUGAGAAUCAAGUGAUGCAGGUGUGCAUGCUCCUCGCGCUGGUGAUGGUUAAAGUAGACAAAGUCCUCGAUACUGUAGUGCGAGCGUAUGUACUCGAUAUCCUGCACGAAACAAAAAAACAUAAUCUUAAAGCCUGUCGAUCCGACUUGAAUGACGCGUGAUUUCGUCCGGCUAUGAAAGUCCAUGCAAAAGAUUUGCAUCCCAGUAGCGAAUUUUAAUUCAAGCGCAUUUAAAAAUGCGCUUGAAUCACAGUAAAUUUCAAUUCAUCCUACAACUGAAGCAUCUCAAUUCUAUGUUAAGAGAUCAAAUAAAAGUUGUAUCUUUAAAACUAAUGAGAGUUUUGACAAUCCAAAAGAGAAACAAAACAAGACUGUCGCGGGAGUCGGAUCUACGGACUUUAAGUAACACAUUAGCCUACUGUUGAAUAGUCAAGAACGCAACACUUCACUGAACAACGUGUGGUGAUAUUAAUAUAGUUAAUUAAGUUUAAUGGGAAAGAUAAGGUAGGGUCAUAUGUCACGUCUACGUCAUCUCCUUCGCUCUAGCAAUCUCACGCUUCACGUCUUGUACAUUGACCCUACCCCCUCUUCCCAAGCAGUUGUAUUGUGUCCAAAUAUACAAUAUUAAAUUGCUCUGAAGUGGUCCAAACC